Molecule: ribosomal RNA, 850 nt
Filed under: bacterium IBRC-M F7
Lineage: Bacteria
Description: bacterial SSU rRNA
Rfam family: Bacterial small subunit ribosomal RNA
Source: RNAcentral
UGCAGUCGAGCGCGUGAAUCAACAUGAUCCCUUCGGGGUGAUUGUUGUGGAUCGAGCGGCGGACGGGUGAGUAACACGUGGGCAACCUACCCAUGAGAUCGGGAUAACUCCGGGAAACCGGAGCUAAUACCGAAUAACCCAGUGAACUGCAUGGUUCACUGGUAAAAGGCGGUUUCGGCCGUCACUCAUGGAUGGGCCCGCGGCGCAUUAGCUAGUUGGUAAGGUAACGGCUUACCAAGGCAACGAUGCGUAGCCGACCUGAGAGGGUGAUCGGCCACACUGGGACUGAGACACGGCCCAGACUCCUACGGGAGGCAGCAGUAGGGAAUCUUCCGCAAUGGACGAAAGUCUGACGGAGCAACGCCGCGUGAACGAUGAAGGUCUUCGGAUCGUAAAGUUCUGUUGUUAGGGAAGAACAAGUACCAGAGGAAAUGCUGGUACCUUGACGGUACCUAACCAGAAAGCCACGGCUAACUACGUGCCAGCAGCCGCGGUAAUACGUAGGUGGCAAGCGUUGUCCGGAAUUAUUGGGCGUAAAGCGCGCGCAGGCGGUUUCUUAAGUCUGAUGUGAAAGCCCACAGCUCAACUGUGGAGGGCCAUUGGAAACUGGGGAACUUGAGUACAGAAGAGGAGAGUGGAAUUCCACGUGUAGCGGUGAAAUGCGUAGAUAUGUGGAGGAACACCAGUGGCGAAGGCGACUCUCUGGUCUGUAACUGACGCUGAGGCGCGAAAGCGUGGGUAGCAAACAGGAUUAGAUACCCUGGUAGUCCACGCCGUAAACGUUGAGUGCUAGGUGUUAGGGGGUUUCCGCCCCUUAGUGCUGAAGUUAACGCAUUAAGCACUCCGCCUG